GUAUAGACCCGAAACCCGGUGAUCUAGCCAUGGGCAGGUUGAAGGUUGGGUAACACUAACUGGAGGACCGAACCGACUAAUGUUGAAAAAUUAGCGGAUGACUUGUGGCUGGGGGUGAAAGGCCAAUCAAACCGGGAGAUAGCUGGUUCUCCCCGAAAGCUAUUUAGGUAGCGCCUCGUGAAUUCAUCUCCGGGGGUAGAGCACUGUUUCGGCAAGGGGGUCAUCCCGACUUACCAACCCGAUGCAAACUGCGAAUACCGGAGAAUGUUAUCACGGGAGACACACGGCGGGUGCUAACGUCCGUCGUGAAGAGGGAAACAACCCAGACCGCCAGCUAAGGUCCCAAAGUCAUGGUUAAGUGGGAAACGAUGUGGGAAGGCCCAGACAGCCAGGAUGUUGGCUUAGAAGCAGCCAUCAUUUAAAGAAAGCGUAAUAGCUCACUGGUCGAGUCGGCCUGCGCGGAAGAUGUAACGGGGCUAAACCAUGCACCGAAGCUGCGGCAGCGACACUGUGUGUUGUUGGGUAGGGGAGCGUUCUGUAAGCCUGUGAAGGUGUACUGUGAGGUAUGCUGGAGGUAUCAGAAGUGCGAAUGCUGACAUAAGUAACGAUAAAGCGGGUGAAAAGCCCGCUCGCCGGAAGACCAAGGGUUCCUGUCCAACGUUAAUCGGGGCAGGGUGAGUCGACCCCUAAGGCGAGGCCGAAAGGCGUAGUCGAUGGGAAACAGGUUAAUAUUCCUGUACUUGGUGUUACUGCGAAGGGGGGACGGAGAAGGCUAUGUUGGCCGGGCGACGGUUGUCCCGGUUUAAGCGUGUAGGCUGGUUUUCCAGGCAAAUCCGGAAAAUCAAGGCUGAGGCGUGAUGACGAGGCACUACGGUGCUGAAGCAACAAAUGCCCUGCUUCCAGGAAAAGCCUCUAAGCAUCAGGUAACAUCAAAUCGUACCCCAAACCGACACAGGUGGUCAGGUAGAGAAUACCAAGGCGCUUGAGAGAACUCGGGUGAAGGAACUAGGCAAAAUGGUGCCGUAACUUCGGGAGAAGGCACGCUGAUAUGUAGGUGAAGUCCCUCGCGGAUGGAGCUGAAAUCAGUCGAAGAUACCAGCUGGCUGCAACUGUUUAUUAAAAACACAGCACUGUGCAAACACGAAAGUGGACGUAUACGGUGUGACGCCUGCCCGGUGCCGGAAGGUUAAUUGAUGGGGUCAGCGCAAGCGAAGCUCUUGAUCGAAGCCCCGGUAAACGGCGGCCGUAACUAUAACGGUCCUAAGGUAGCGAAAUUCCUUGUCGGGUAAGUUCCGACCUGCACGAAUGGCGUAAUGAUGGCCAGGCUGUCUCCACCCGAGACUCAGUGAAAUUGAACUCGCUGUGAAGAUGCAGUGUACCCGCGGCAAGACGGAAAGACCCCGUGAACCUUUACUAUAGCUUGACACUGAACAUUGAGCCUUGAUGUGUAGGAUAGGUGGGAGGCUUUGAAGUGUGGACGCCAGUCUGCAUGGAGCCGACCUUGAAAUACCACCCUUUAAUGUUUGAUGUUCUAACGUGGACCCGUGAUCCGGGUUGCGGACAGUGUCUGGUGGGUAGUUUGACUGGGGCGGUCUCCUCCUAAAGAGUAACGGAGGAGCACGAAGGUUGGCUAAUCCUGGUCGGACAUCAGGAGGUUAGUGCAAUGGCAUAAGCCAGCUUGACUGCGAGCGUGACGGCGCGAGCAGGUGCGAAAGCAGGUCAUAGUGAUCCGGUGGUUCUGAAUGGAAGGGCCAUCGCUCAACGGAUAAAAGGUACUCCGGGGAUAACAGGCUGAUACCGCCCAAGAGUUCAUAUCGACGGCGGUGUUUGGCACCUCGAUGUCGGCUCAUCACAUCCUGGGGCUGAAGUAGGUCCCAAGGGUAUGGCUGUUCGCCAUUUAAAGUGGUACGCGAGCUGGGUUUAGAACGUCGUGAGACAGUUCGGUCCCUAUCUGCCGUGGGCGCUGGAGAACUGAGGGGGGCUGCUCCUAGUACGAGAGGACCGGAGUGGACGCAUCACUGGUGUUCGGGUUGUCAUGCCAAUGGCACUGCCCGGUAGCUAAAUGCGGAAGAGAUAAGUGCUGAAAGCAUCUAAGCACGAAACUUGCCCCGAGAUGAGUUCUCCCUGACCCUUUAAGGGUCCUGAAGGAACGUUGAAGACGACGACGUUGAUAGGCCGGGUGUGUAAGCGCAGCGAUGCGUUGAGCUAACCGGUACUAAUGAACCGUGAGGCUUAACCUUACAACGCCGAAGGUGUUU
Molecule: ribosomal RNA, 2258 nt
Filed under: Escherichia coli
Lineage: Bacteria; Pseudomonadati; Pseudomonadota; Gammaproteobacteria; Enterobacterales; Enterobacteriaceae
Description: partial 23S ribosomal RNA
Rfam family: Bacterial large subunit ribosomal RNA
Source: RNAcentral